Molecule: long non-coding RNA, 363 nt
Filed under: Solanum tuberosum (potato)
Lineage: Eukaryota; Viridiplantae; Streptophyta; Magnoliopsida; Solanales; Solanaceae
Description: long non-coding RNA (STUB_LNC009867)
Source: RNAcentral
ACCAUUGUGCCCAGCAAAAUAACAUAAGUCAAACUACAAUUAAUACGAAUUGAUGUCAAUUAUACCACCUACUAAUAAUCAUUAUUAUACCAGAAAAUGAUCCAUAAUAAUCCACAUAAACAAACUAAUAAGCAUACGUACAGGAGAACAAUUAACACGAAAAUUUGAAAUGUAUCAUAUCAAAACCUCAACUAUUUUAUAAAAGUACAAUAUAGCAUCCACACGCCCAAUAAAAUAAGUAAAUGUCAUACCCCUUUUUAGCAUACAAUGAAUAAUUAUCAUAUUAUACAAAUUUUAUUCUAAACUUAAGGAUAUAACAGGUUCACAUAUAUUUAAAUAUUAUAACAUUAAAGAAUAUUAACA